RNAcentral lists this transfer RNA (383 nucleotides) under Esomus metallicus (striped flying barb). Its description in RNAcentral is "tRNA-Glu". The record is from RNAcentral. Lineage: Eukaryota; Metazoa; Chordata; Actinopteri; Cypriniformes; Danionidae.
UAUUAGUAACAGUAGGAUCACUACUCCAAUGUUUCAGGUUUCCUUAAAUAUGUAGGAUCCGUAGUAAAGUCCUCGGCCAAUGUGAAUAUAUGUACAGAUGAAGAAUAGGGAGGCGCCGUUGGCAUGAAUAUUACGGAUUAUUCAUCCGUUGUUAACGUCUCGGCAAAUAUGAACGAUUGAGGAGAACGCGGUCGAGAUAUCUGGGGAGUAGUGUAUUGCCAGGAAUAAUCCUGUUAGAAUUUGGGUAAUUAAGCAUAUUCCUAGAAGAGAGCCGAAGUUUCAUCAAAUUGAAAUGUUGGCUGGAGUUGGUAAAUCAAUUAGUGAGUCGUUGGAGAUUUUAAUAAUUGGGUGUGUUUUUCGUAGGCUUGCCAUUAUUGAAGUUG